Molecule: non-coding RNA, 1620 nt
Organism: Taeniopygia guttata (zebra finch)
Lineage: Eukaryota; Metazoa; Chordata; Aves; Passeriformes; Estrildidae
Source: RefSeq, a predicted model, not a curated record
CCAGCGCCUGUGAAACCACAUGGCCGCCGCCAUGAUCUGGCCGCGUGUGUUCCAGAGAUGCCGCGGAGCUCUUUAAGAUAAACUCCGGGCUGUAUCUCUCCGAAAAACAAGGAAGGUUGAGACCGUUGUGCCCGACCAGUCUGUCAGCAUCCCGUUGUGGGGAUCCUUCACUGAGCAGUCCUACUGGAUCAGAGGCUGGUUCGACUGACUUAGGGAAACACACCAACAGUGUAAGGGAGACCCCUCAGCAGGUCUUCCCCUUUACCCACUGUGUUACCUGCUGCUGCCGACUGGUAGCGUUCGCCAAGGAUUCACACUAACAGUUUACGGAAUAGCACUCUUUAUUAAUAUAAAUUGUGACGGGUUACGGUUCGAAGAUUGUCGGUGAUAGUGUCUGACUGCAAAAAUAUAUCUGAAGGAAUAUACAGACAAGCUCUAAUCCCCAAUAAAAUGUUCAGCGUGCAUAGAGUAUGAUUCUUAUCCAACACGCAUCUCUAUGGGGGAGAAGACAGGUUGAGCCCAUCAACUGAUCCCAGCAGCUAUGAUGGAGUCUUCCCUAACUUUUCCCCAUUCUCGACUUAUUUUUAUAGUAUUUCUGUGUGUUUAGGUGGAGCUUGAGUGACCCUAGUCAUGCAUACUUUUGUUACUGAUUGGUGUAAAAUUCUCUUGCUUUGCUUUUAAAGAUACAGUCAAAAAGAAUAUAGAGCACAUGCCCAGUGAGGGGUGGUUGCGCUUUGGAGGUGGGUAACUUUGGGAUGGAGGUGUACGUUAAUAUUAUUAUUAGGCUUUAAUGAAGCAAGUUCACCUAAGGAGAGUGAUUUCACCACAGUUGCUGCCUCAGCAGUAAGACAUCUUCCCCUAUCUCCCUUGGUUGACAGGUGGUAUGCCGUUUAUCAGCUGCAAAGUGCCGUCGAGUUCCCUUCCCUGCAAGGAUUUCUGCAGAGCCUGGCCUUCGCUCUGCUCCACCCUCCGUUCCAUCCCCCUUAGCAGGUGUGUGUGUGUAUGGGGAAUCAUCACGGAAUAGGUUUCAAACCAUGCCAACUGCAUUCCACCCAGGGAGCAGCAACUGUGAUUUACCCUAUAAUUCCCGCACUGUUAUAACUCCUGUGAGGAUGCUAAUAUAACCCCUAAGUUUCCUCUAAUUGAAUCCCCAGUUACCGGUCCACAGGGUCCCCGGUCAUUUUCCCACACCGAGCUUUGCACUGGUAGCUAGAAAGGUGUUGAUCACACCCCAGCGUUUUGGCUACUGCUGGGCAGUGUUGGCACAGCAUCAGCGCUGUCUCUCCAACAUUCUGUCCCUCAUCAGUAGGCUGGGGGUGGGCAAGGUCCUGGGAGGAGACACAACCAGGACAGCUGACCCAAACUGGCCAGAGGGCUAUUCCAUACCAUAUGACAUCAGCCCAGAAAUAAAAGCUAAGUUAAGGAGGGGGAAGGGGGCACAUUCCUUAUUUACAACGUUUGCCUUUCGGAGCAACCCCUACGCGUGCUGGAGCCCUGCUUCUUAGAAAGUGGUCGGACAGUGCUUGCUGAUGGGAACUAGAGGAUAUAAUUAUUUGUUUUUCCUGUUUGCUUUUUCGUGCAAAAACCUUCUCUUUUCCUUUAGUAAACUGCCUUAUCUCA